AAAGUGCAUCAGAGAAGAAAUACGUGAAGGAAUUGUGGGAAGAUGGCUGACUAGAAGCAGUUUUCACCAGAGGCUCAUGCCCAGAGGGAGAGAUAUUGGACUGAAGUGGCUGGAAAGCAAAUGAGAGGCGCUCCACUGGAAGAGGAGUGCAUGAGGUACACGUCACCCAGGCUGAAUUAACUGGCAGACACAAGAAAGUGGAAGAAAAAUAACAGGACCUGAAGUGAAUGCUAUUCUUGACCAUCAUGUUCAAGACUUGAACGUCCAUAAAAGAAAGAGCUGGAUAAGCAACAUACUUACGGAAUUCUACAUAUCAA
Molecule: long non-coding RNA, 317 nt
Organism: Otolemur garnettii (small-eared galago)
Lineage: Eukaryota; Metazoa; Chordata; Mammalia; Primates; Galagidae
Exons: 3
Source: RefSeq, a predicted model, not a curated record